UACGAAGGGGACUAGCGUUGUUCGGAAUCACUGGGCGUAAAGCGCACGUAGGCGGAUAUGUAAGUCAGGGGUGAAAUCCCGGGGCUCAACCUCGGAACUGCCUUUGAUACUGCGUAUCUUGAGUUCGAUAGAGGUGGGUGGAAUUCCUAGUGUAGAGGUGAAAUUCGUAGAUAUUAGGAAGAACACCAGUGGCGAAGGCGGCCCACUGGAUCGAUACUGACGCUGAGGUGCGAAAGCGUGGGGAGCAAACAGG
Molecule: ribosomal RNA, 253 nt
Filed under: uncultured bacterium
Lineage: Bacteria
Description: partial 16S ribosomal RNA
Rfam family: Bacterial small subunit ribosomal RNA
Source: RNAcentral